GGAGGAGUAAGGGCUGGAAGUGAG
Molecule: non-coding RNA, 24 nt
Filed under: Cricetulus griseus (Chinese hamster)
Lineage: Eukaryota; Metazoa; Chordata; Mammalia; Rodentia; Cricetidae
Source: RNAcentral